UACAGAGGGUGCAAGCGUUAAUCGGAAUUACUGGGCGUAAAGCGUACGUAGGCGGUUAUCUAAGUCGGGUGUGAAAGCCCCGGGCUCAACCUGGGAAUUGCAUUCGAUACUGGAUAGCUAGAGUUCGGCAGAGGGAAGCGGAAUUUCCGGUGUAGCGGUGAAAUGCGUAGAUAUCGGAAGGAACAUCAGUGGCGAAAGCGGCUUCCUGGACCAGAACUGACGCUCAGGUACGAAAGCGUGGGGAGCAAACAGG
This 253-nucleotide ribosomal RNA is filed under the name uncultured bacterium. RNAcentral describes it as "partial 16S ribosomal RNA". It matches the Rfam family "Bacterial small subunit ribosomal RNA", at positions 524 to 776 of the family's 1533-position model. The record is from RNAcentral.